RNAcentral lists this ribosomal RNA (254 nucleotides) under uncultured bacterium. RNAcentral's name for it is "partial 16S ribosomal RNA". It matches the Rfam family "Bacterial small subunit ribosomal RNA", at positions 524 to 776 of the family's 1533-position model. The record is from RNAcentral.
UACGUAGGGUGCAAGCGUUGUCCGGAAUUAUUGGGCGUAAAGAGCUCGUAGGCGGCUUAGAAAGUCGGGUGUGAAACCUCCAGGCUCAACCUGGAGACGCCACUCGAUACUUCUAUGGCUUGAGUUCGGUAGGGGACCAUGGAAUUCCCGGUGUAGCGGUGAAAUGCGCAGAUAUCGGGAAGAACACCCGUGGCGAAGGCGGUUCUCUGGGACGGUACUGACGCUGAGACGCGAAAGCGUGGGGAGCGAACAGG